CCUACGGGAGGCAGCAGUGGGGAAUAUUGGGCAAUGGGCGCAAGCCUGACCCAGCAACGCCGCGUGAAGGAAGAAGGCUUUCGGGUUGUAAACUUCUUUUCUCAGGGACGAAGAAAGUGACGGUACCUGAGGAAUAAGCCACGGCUAACUACGUGCCAGCCGCCGCGGUAAUACGUAGGUGGCAAGCGUUAUCCGGAUUUCUUGGGUGUAAAGGGCGUGUAGGCGGGAGCGCAAGUCAGAUGUGAAAACUCAGGGCUCAACCCUGGGCCUGCAUUUGAAACUGUGUUUCUUGAGUGCUGGGGAGGCAAUCGGAAUUCCGGGUGUAGCGGUGAAAUGCGUAGAUAUAAGGAGGAACACCAGUGGCGAAGGCGGAUUGCUGGACAGUAACUGACGCUGAGGCGCGAAAGCGUGGGGAGCAAACAGGAUUAGAUACCCCGGUAGUC
Molecule: ribosomal RNA, 443 nt
Filed under: uncultured bacterium
Lineage: Bacteria
Description: partial 16S ribosomal RNA
Rfam family: Bacterial small subunit ribosomal RNA
Source: RNAcentral